Non-coding RNA from Triticum aestivum (bread wheat), 115 nucleotides. Lineage: Eukaryota; Viridiplantae; Streptophyta; Magnoliopsida; Poales; Poaceae. The record is from Rfam.
CAAGUACUCCCUCCGUCCGGAAUUACUUGUCAACAAAAAGGAUGUGUCUAGAACUAAAAUACAUCUAGAUACAUCCAUUUCAAUGACAAGUAUUUCCGGACGGAGGAAGUAUAAG